GCCGGGGGGGCGGGGAGGGGUGGGGGUGAGGGCGCAGGGGAGGGGGCGCGGCGGAACUCCCCGGACCAGCAACACAGCAAUCAAAAAAAAAAAAAAAAAAAAGAAAAAAGAAAACACCGCAAACAAUAAUAAUAAAUAACCCAAAUUAAGGGUCGGAGAGGCGUCCCACCUUGGUCACUCUUGGAAACCACCUCUUCCUCCCCUCCCCAAAUGCAAAACACAGGGGGUGAGGGUUAAAAAAAAAAAAAAGAAAAAAAAAAAGAAGAAAAACAAAACAAAACAAAACAAGGAUAAAUUCUGCUCGGGAGGAGCAAAAGCGUCUGCGGAGGUCGGGACAGCCAGAGAGGGCUGGAGGGGAAGCCGGAGGUGGAAAGUUCUAACAAGAAGCCUCUUGCCCCAGCAGCCGCCGGGGCUGGGGAAUUCGCAGCCAGAAGCGACAGGAAGGAGGGAUUCAAAGACGGACCCGAUUUCCCCUCCCACCGCACCCCGCUUGCUCGCAGGAGAGAGGUCGGACGGGGGCUCCCUCCUGUCUCCAUUCAGCCCCCCAGACGCGGACCAGAGGGCAGGCCGAUGCCAUCCUCACCCCCAGGCCCUGGCUAAAGGCAGGACUCUGUCAAAGUGCCUGUCCCCUCCCACCUUGGAGUCCUCUAAAAAUGGAGAAGAACCCCAACCUGAGAGAGCUCGGCCCCUUGGUCCCAGCCGCGCCUGGUGUCCGCGGGCCUGCUCCGGAGCCGGGGAGCCUGGAGCGGGAACGCCCGCAGCCUGUUGUCAUCUGUCAUCUGUUAUCCUCGGAGCCGCCUAGUGGCCUGCCCGGGACACUGCGCCUCCAGGCCGCCCCCGCCGCUGCCU
This 849-nucleotide long non-coding RNA is filed under the name Canis lupus familiaris (dog). RNAcentral describes it as "lncRNA (ENSCAFG00030007240.1)". The record is from RNAcentral. Lineage: Eukaryota; Metazoa; Chordata; Mammalia; Carnivora; Canidae.